This is a long non-coding RNA of Heterocephalus glaber (naked mole-rat), 1304 nucleotides long. The record is from Ensembl. Lineage: Eukaryota; Metazoa; Chordata; Mammalia; Rodentia; Bathyergidae.
GGCCCCUGGAGGGCUCUGGCCUCUGCUUGCCCCCUGCACAGGGUGGACAGAGGACUGAAAGGCUGUCCUGCCAACCUUACUAGAGCUGGAAAUAACUUUGUGUUGAUUUGCUUUAGACAAGUACACUGGGAAGACCUCAGGGAGCAGCUGCAGCCUGUGGAUGCUGAAUUCUCAGGCUCUGAGGCCACCCCAGCCUCUCCCUCCAAAAGCUCCCAGAAGCACUUUGGAAAUAAUAGUCUAAGGUCCCCAGGCUGGGAUCAAACCUGUGAUCCUCCUGCCUCAGCCUUCCAGAGCCGAAAGUACAGAUGCAGCCACCUCUGCAAAAGCCCCACCUGUGACCACAAGAGGCUCUGAGGGGCCGUCCAGACCCAGCCCUGACAGGGAGUUUCCGCCCUUUGGUCAGAGGAAUGCCAGGUGUGCAACUAAGGAAGGCUCCUCGGGAUGAGCCUGGCGUGGCCUUCAUCCAAACCCAAGGGUGUGGCGAGACUGACGUGGAGAAGCAGGAGGCAGAAGAACUGAGGCACAAGGUGUGGUGGAGCACGCCGUUCCUCCCAGCAUUCAAGAGGCUGUGGAAGAAGACUGCUGUGCAUUCGAAGCCAGCCUGAACCAACUACGUGCACACGUCCUCCUGACCCCAUCCCUACAGUUUCUUCACAAAGGGGCACUGGGAAGAGUGGCACGCUGAGAACCAUGAGGGGUUUUAUUCCUAGAAAAAGCGCAAAGAGCUGGACUUGGCUUUUUCAACCCAGAUCAGAAACCCUAGGUUGUCAUGGCAGGCAGAAGUGAUCCAAACCCUAAGCACAAAGCUGGAGUUCGGGCGUCCUGGGUGUCAGUCUGUGGUGAUCAGCCUUGCGGGCCUCAACGAGGAAGCAGAAAGAAACAGGACCAACCGGAGCACAGGGCCAGAAUGUGACGGGCACCAGGUGAAACACACAGCUACAGGACAGAGUGCCCAGAAAUCAGGUGUGGUGGUGCAGGGCGCAUAGAUGUAACUCCCAACCUGCUAGAGGUCAGACACGCCAAGUUCCUGCUCCCUGGAGUCGAUGAAUUCUAAGGAACAACAGAGGUUAAGAGUAGGAAAAUUUAGAGCUAAAACAGAGUUUUGGACUUCUGUACACCUCUGGGACCUCAGGCACCACCCAUCAGGGGGGCCCAGAUAAACAGCCUGUCAGUUAAGCUUAUCAACAUAGUUACAAUGUCACAGAAAAGAGAUGCCCGAUUCCCAGGCCAGUGGAGUUUCAUCUUAUUCUGAAUAAAGGCCAUAUUAUAUUUAAAAAAAAAAAAAAAGAGUAGGAAAUUUAUUG